AUCCAGCUGACGAGUCCAAAAUAGGACGAAAAGCGCGUCCUGGAU
Molecule: non-coding RNA, 45 nt
Filed under: Schistosoma margrebowiei
Lineage: Eukaryota; Metazoa; Platyhelminthes; Trematoda; Strigeidida; Schistosomatidae
Source: RNAcentral